GUUAAGCGACUAAGCGUACACGGUGGAUGCCCUGGCAGUCAGAGGCGAUGAAGGACGUGCUAAUCUGCGAUAAGCGUCGGUGAGGUGAUAUGAACCGUUAUAACCGGCGAUUUCCGAAUGGGGAAACCCAGUGUGUUUCGACACACUAUCAUUAACUGAAUCCAUAGGUUAAUGAGGCGAACCGGGGGAACUGAAACAUCUAAGUACCCCGAGGAAAAGAAAUCAACCGAGAUUCCCCCAGUAGCGGCGAGCGAACGGGGAGGAGCCCAGAGCCUGAAUCAGUGUGUGUGUUAGUGGAAGCGUCUGGAAAGGCGUGC
Molecule: ribosomal RNA, 317 nt
Filed under: Escherichia coli
Lineage: Bacteria; Pseudomonadati; Pseudomonadota; Gammaproteobacteria; Enterobacterales; Enterobacteriaceae
Description: partial 23S ribosomal RNA
Rfam family: Bacterial large subunit ribosomal RNA
Source: RNAcentral